UGGGGAAUAUUGCACAAUGGGCGCAAGCCUGAUGCAGCCAUGCCGCGUGUGUGAAGAAGGCCUUCGGGUUGUAAAGCACUUUCAGCGAGGAGGAAGGGGUUGAGUUUAAUACGCUCAAUCAUUGACGUUACUCGCAGAAGAAGCACCGGCUAACUCCGUGCCAGCAGCCGCGGUAAUACGGAGGGUGCAAGCGUUAAUCGGAAUUACUGGGCGUAAAGCGCACGCAGGCGGUUUGUUAAGUCAGAUGUGAAAUCCCCGCGCUUAACGUGGGAACUGCAUUUGAAACUGGCAAGCUAGAGUCUUGUAGAGGGGGGUAGAAUUCCAGGUGUAGCGGUGAAAUGCGUAGAGAUCUGGAGGAAUACCGGUGGCGAAGGCGGCCCCCUGGACAAAGACUGACGCUCAGGUGCGAAAGCGUGGGGAGCAAACA
Molecule: ribosomal RNA, 427 nt
Filed under: uncultured bacterium
Lineage: Bacteria
Description: partial 16S ribosomal RNA
Rfam family: Bacterial small subunit ribosomal RNA
Source: RNAcentral